Molecule: ribosomal RNA, 39 nt
Filed under: Typhlodromalus deleoni
Lineage: Eukaryota; Metazoa; Arthropoda; Arachnida; Mesostigmata; Phytoseiidae
Description: partial 18S ribosomal RNA
Source: RNAcentral
AGAGGGAAAUAAUAGUAGUAACAAGGUUUCCGUAGGUGA